This is a non-coding RNA of Mycena polygramma, 95 nucleotides long. NCBI's taxonomy places the organism in Eukaryota, Fungi, Basidiomycota, Agaricomycetes, Agaricales, Mycenaceae. The record is from the annotation of a GenBank genome assembly.
UGCCCUUUGGCCCAGUUGGUGAAGGCGCACGACUGUUAUGAUCCUCUGUGGAGCACUUUAUCGUGAGAUCGCAAGUUCGAACCUUGCAGGGGCAG